UCGGUAGUUCUCCAUAAUUCCUAACCUAUAAAAUUCCUCUAUGAUUUUACAUUCACCGUACAAGUUUCGCUAGAAAUUCUAACGCAGUUCAAUUUGACGAUUGAAAGGGUUGCCAGCUACAACAAGGGGGUAAUUCUACUUUCUAGCAAUUUAGAUAAAACAACAAAACUUCAAUUCUUUUUUUUUGCGAACUCUUCAACUUCUAGUCUCCAAAAUAACUUUACAGAAAUACCAUUAAACGAAGCGGUACAUAUCCUGGAAAUAUUCACCAGCGAUCAGACACCUCAACCACGUACAGCAACAUGCAACAACUGUAUCCGCUAUUCCGUACCUCAAAGCUCAAACGAGAGAUGAUUCGCUUUUAUGAUCCCGUAACCUUCGGGAGUUAAAUGGCCCCAGACCCUUGGCGGAUCGGACGAUUAUUCGAUUAAUAAGUCUCAGCUAUUUCGGUGACACGAAAGAGAAUCCUCGACGAGGGUCGACAGUAGGCAAAGAAGAAACAUCGAUUCCAUGGAGUAGGACAAGGAACAGG
This 532-nucleotide unclassified non-coding RNA is filed under the name Bombus terrestris (buff-tailed bumblebee). RNAcentral describes it as "misc RNA ENSBTSG00005030211.1". Lineage: Eukaryota; Metazoa; Arthropoda; Insecta; Hymenoptera; Apidae. The record is from RNAcentral.